Molecule: small RNA, 110 nt
Rfam family: EcpR1
About the family: Perviously named SmelC291, SmrC10, or Sra33. According to its overproduction phenotype it was renamed Elongated Cell Phenotype RNA1. Induced by stress,EcpR1 negatively regulates cell cycle master regulatory genes dnaA and gcrA at post-transcriptional level by base pairing between its strongly conserved GC-rich loop and the target mRNAs.
Source: Rfam
AAACCCCAUGAUGUUCAGGUCCGCCGCAUCUCCUGGGUCGUGGGGUGGCCGGUCGAGAUCGAUGCACAGUGGCAUCCUCGUUCCACGCAUUCAUUUUGAUCGGCCUUCGA